UGCCUCCGGUGGAAUACUGUCAUGCGGACCGGUCUUGUUCUUCUGCUGUGCUUCCUGGGAGCGGUGCUGAUUUCAUCGGUGAUCUGCACCAAUUCCAUUGGACCUGAUGAAUGUUGCUUCAGAUUCUACAGCAGAAGAGUUCAAAGAAGCAAAUCAGAACGUAUCAUGUAACCGAUCAUCGGUUGCCCCAAGGCUGGAAUCAUUUUGGUGACCGAAAGGUAUCGUCACAUCUGUGCAGAUCCAAAUCUUUCCUCUGUUCAAGACAUCAUGAGAUACCUGGAUGAGAGAUAUCUUUAAGAUGAAUCCUUUUAUUGCUGCAGCUUAUGGUGCUUUAUGACAUCACAAAUAGCAAUGCAUAAUGUAGUUUUGUAUGCUGCAUUGCUUUUGAUAACUUGUAAACAUGCCAGAAUAAUGAAUUGUCUGUACAUCUCAAAGUAUUUCUUUUUUUUGUGCAACAGUUCACACUUUCAUAAUUUACUUUUCUUUUGAAUGUUUUCAUUUCCCGUAAAAAAGUGUUAAAAUAUUUUUGGACAAUCGAACUUUGUAAGAGACAUUAUGUUAUGUUUGCUACUUUGUUGAAACGAUUUAAAAUUUUUUUUUUUUUUUUGCCUAUUUUACUGUCAUGGAGUGUUUAAUUAUUAUUACUAUUAGUCAUAAGAUCAAUAGAAUGUCAGAUUGACAUGUCUAAAUAUCCCGAUUCACACAGUUUCCAGUUUUCUUGAAGCUAAACAGAAUAAUUUUCCAAAUGGCAAAAAAUAAAUAAAAAUUUUGUUGUACUGCCUGAUACACCUAAUAACAUGAAUAAAAACAGAUUACAUACAACUUGAGUUAGGGAUUGCAGGAUAUCACAGAAAAUGUAUUUAAACAUAAAAAACAAUGGUUAAAACAACGAUGUUGAUUGACAGUGUUCAAGCAGAAAACGUAUACGGAGUGAAUGUGAUUUUUUUUAAUUUUAUUUUUUGUAUAUUAGACUAUAGUCUCAAAUACUGUUCAGUGUGGGAUGUUUUAAAAAAAGACUUUACAGGUUAAAUAGAAACUACAACAACCUCACAAUAAAAGUCUAUCAGGUGUACAGAAAAUAAAUUGGUGGAGUUCACUCUUCACCAGACAAAUGUUUACAUACACUUUGGUUAAAACCAUUACAUUCUUUCCGCCUACACAUGUUCCAUUUAAACAAUACGUGCCCCCUAGAAUGUCUAUUUCUAGUAUUAAGUCAUUCAAAAAAUGGUUGCCAAAGAUUCAUUUUUUUUAUUUAAAUUAUAUCAGUAGGUCAACAGUUUACAUAUGCAGAGAUGAACACUCAGAACUGUAUACAAAGUUUGAGAAACUAAUCUGGCAAUAUUUUUGAAUAAGCUAGAAGGUCCUAAGCUGCAGUAAAUUUUGGAAUUAAUUGAUGAACUUUGACAUGAAAUUACAGAGGCCUAACUGAAAAAUCACACUAUCUUUCAGCCACGGCUUCUGAAACCACAUGUUUAGAUCUCUUCAAAGUCAAGUUCCCUCCAUAGCGCCAUCUAGACAAAAGAUUUCAUUGGGCACAAGGGGUUAUCUAUCAUCAAAGAAGACUAUAACGAAGCUUUGAGUCGAUACAGACUGACAUUUGACUAAUGUUUGCACAAAUUCAGGAAAUUUAUUGUGAAGGUCCACCAGAUCCCCCUGUGUUAAUCUCAAGGGUGCCAUUCUUGACAUUGAUGGAAUGUGAUUGUACCUUAUCAACAUAACCCAAAGGCAUAUUUCAGGGAGGAAAAAAAACGAGGCAUGCAUAUUAUGGUGUGCACAGUGAAGGACAAAUUGUCUUAUCUGUGGCUGAUCCAGAGUUGACAGAGAGAAAUAAAUAUUUAAUGAGGCCACUUUUUUAAGUCCGUUCAAAAUGUUACUCUGUGUUCAAAAGAUGUCAGACAUUUGAUAGUUUCUGUGCAGCAUAUGGGUCUGUUAUGAAAAACUGCCAUGUGCACAAAGAGAACUGAGAUAUAAAAUAACACCCUGCAUGCUAGACAUUAAUACUGAUGAUGUGGAUAAUAAAAAACACAGAAAUACAUGUACUGAUCAGUGCAUAGAUUUUUUUUUUUUUGCUCAGUGACGAAUGUGCACAAAGCCAGCAUGUGCUGCCAAAAUUAUUUGGAUAUUAUCUCAUGCUCACAAAUUAAUCAAGCCAUGGGAAUGAUUUAUGCACCAAUGCACACAUAAUACAUUUCAGGUGCUAUGAUCUCUGCCUGUAUAUGGCAUCUCCAGCUCUCCUUGGACACUUCACAUGUGCACCGUGGAAUUUUUAUUUAUUUAUUUUAAGUUGCUCACCUGCACUUAUUGGCAUUUUAACAGCGAAAACAUACCACACAACACACAAUAUCUAUAUCUCAACAACUAAGCUGGAUGGAUGAGCUGGAGCAUUUAUUGAUCAGCAAAAUAUGAUUGAUCUGCAUGAAUAACUUCAUGAAUGACGUCACACAGAAGUCAUAUGAUGAAGUCCUAUAGUCAAAAACCCAUUGCAGAUAUAAGGCAUGUAUAUUACUUGUACUUUUAUAUUGUGUGUAGAACGUACAGGGUAUGUACCAACCCUCGGAUGCUCGUCAUUCCUAAACAGUUAAUGCAAUAUUUUGUUGACCCCUUCAAUUAAAACUGAAAUUCUACACUUAAAUUACAUCUUAAAAUUGCUUUAAUGUAUCAAGUGAAAAUCAGUGUAUGCUCAGAUAUUGCAAAAGUAUACAUAGGAUGUGCAUGUAGAUAAGGCACCUUUAGAAAUGGGAGAUCUUAUAAAAAAAAGUGUGAGAUUAAAAUAGCUAAUUGGAACAUCCGUUCGGUUUGUGGUUAAAGAGUAAAAUGUCACACACACUCCAGCCUGUUUAAGUUCUUUGAGGUGUUGUGUUAAUUGUGCAACCUCUUUAAUCCCUCAGUGUCUACUUUCCCGCGGUUCUUUACCAACAUAUUGUGUAAAUAUACUUUGAUUACCCGAGUGGUCGUGGUUUGCUGAACUUUUGUGGAUCAUCUUUUCAAUUUAUGAGCCUUUCCCAGGUAAGAGACCAUAACUCGUGUUUUUUCUGUGGUCCUUGCUACCAAUAUGGGCUAUUAGUCUAAACAUAUUAUGGCUAUUGUUUGUUUGCAGUAUCGAUACAGAGAAGAAGUCUUGAUAUCGCUGAUGAGAUGGUGUUGGAGAGUUCUGCAUUCAGCUUCCAUCUGAAAUAAAUUGGACAUCAACUUUCCAUUCCACGCCGGUGAACAACACCUUGAAUAAAGUCCACAACGCAAACACAACUUCAGAAGCUAACGAAGUCAGCAACCUCACACUGCACACAACUCUAGUGCAGCAGAUGAUGAACAAAAGUCAAAAGGACUGUUGGUGUAAUGACACUGUUCAGCAAAAAAGACUGCUGAUUUUUCAGAUUUUACUGAUAGAAUCAAACCUCCUGCAAUGGGAUGUAAACCGCAGAUAAUCAUGACCUUUACCCACAUGUCACUGUGUGGUGAUGAGAAACACUACUAUUCUGCCAUUGGACCACUCACUGUAAAGUGGAUGAGAUCUCCACAGCUAUGCUGGUCCCAGGCCGGAGGCUGCAGGUGAUGUCCGUUCUGCUCCGGAGCUGAGUACCCCAGUCAUCGUCACGGCACUCAGCCGAUCUCUACCAGCAUCUGGAGGCUUCCAUCAACCAUCCGACAGAAGCUUCUGCCAAAAAUACAGACACGGCGAUAUUAAGAAGCGUUCCCACGGUGCAUUGCUGCCGUAGUGUUUAUCAAGGCAUACAUUUGGGAUGAUUGUUGGAUACAAAAUUCAAUGAAAAAACUCUGACUGCUAAUUGAUGCUGUUAUACUAUUCACACGUCGUGGCCAAAAGCGUGUGUGUUCAUCCAAAAGCUCACUGGGUUCGUGCCACACUGGACUCGUAUUCAAAAAAGACACACAGUAAACUAAAGCCUGUGUGACUUUUAAUUGGCCCUUUUUUGCUUUGUUGUUGAGAUUUUCUAGUUUUUGUGUUCCAUCAUGUGAAUGUCUCAACUUAAUGUUCCUUUUACAUCCAAACUCACAUUGGGUGAUUGUGGCGUCUGAUUAUUACAGUUUUUGGGCUGGAGGUAGAGAAUCAGGGAUAAACCACAAAUCAAACCACAAUUUUUAUUUUUGUCCACUAUGUUUGUGUGUUCCACCACAAAAUGAUCAUUCUGGUUAAUAACAUUCCGUCUAAGCUGUGUGAUGUAACAAUAUUUAUAAUCUUUAGUUGUCAUAAAAAUGUCUUUUGAUAGCGGUUAGAUUUGACUCCGUAGUGUUUCGCUAACUCCACAGUUAACAAGCUAGGCUAGACUAGUCACGUUGUUAGCCUACUGAACAGCUGGCUAUUUCCACUGUUAUUUCUCUUUGCUGUUAGCCUUUGAAUCAACAUUGAUGACUUUGGCGAAUAAAACUGACAGGUAAUUAAAUUUGUGCAUCAUUUCUUUUUUGGUUUCAUUUCUAUUAUUCUGCUCCAGAAAAAAAAACGACAGAAAACCGAAGAAAUGGUCAAAAACAGAAGUUGCAAUGACAUUCCUGUCAGCGCAGUGUGUAUGUAAACUUCUGAUCACAACAGAGAAUGUGGGUUAAGGCCUGAGUUGAGUAGGGCUUGAUGCAGAUCAGGUGUGAUUUUCAGUAUUAGUUUGCGAGGGAUGAAUGAAUUGGGCUACUAGUAUGUAAGCCAGGGUUAUUCCCAGUCAACCUAGCUCUUGGUGUACUUGGACAAGACACUUCAUCUACAAUCUCCCAGUCCUAGACCAGCUGGCCAAUAG
Molecule: long non-coding RNA, 4742 nt
Organism: Thalassophryne amazonica
Lineage: Eukaryota; Metazoa; Chordata; Actinopteri; Batrachoidiformes; Batrachoididae
Exons: 8
Source: RefSeq, a predicted model, not a curated record